Manduca sexta (tobacco hornworm) is the source of this 944-nucleotide long non-coding RNA. RefSeq lists it as uncharacterized. NCBI's taxonomy places the organism in Eukaryota, Metazoa, Arthropoda, Insecta, Lepidoptera, Sphingidae. The transcript has 2 exons. The record is from RefSeq and is a predicted model, not a curated record.
CGUGGGCUGAGCCGGGGUAGGGUUCCUUCAUCGUGCUACUGCUGGUGGUCAUCAAAGUACCAAGAACAAACAAAAUGAGAGCAAGGCGCCUGACGACGGACCUUAUGGGAGUGUGGUGUUCACUGUUCCCGAAACUCUAAUGCAACGCCAACAUCCACGCAAUGGGGAUAGUCACGAGCAGUUCUACGAAGAAGUAGCUUUGGACGGGCGCAGGCGCGAGGAGAGAGAUAUUUCGCAGCAUCUGUUAGAGGGCCCAGCCGACGAACGAUUAUAGAUUGUAGCUACAAAUGCCGUAGGCAGUGAUUUAGUGAUGUACACCUGACAGAAAUGGUGCCUCCAGUACAAAAAUUCUAGCAUAAUAAAGUAAAAAGCCGAAUCUUUGUAAUUUUCAAUUUCAGUGCCCAUUCAGAUAUAUUUACGGUUGUUGCUGUCGCCGUGGAUAGCCAGUAAUGUACAGCGUUGUCUUCUUAGACACUUAAUAAAAUACCAGACGGGUUACUGAAAAAUAUUUUUUAAAAUUAUUUAUUUAUUUAGGAUAAGACACAGACCUAUUCCGCCUGAGCAGCGAAUAAAUCUUGGUUUUGAAAUAUUGUAUGCAUUGUAAAUUAUGUCAUGUGUCAACAAAUUUAGAUAUAAAAUGUAAUUGAAUAUAAUAAAUAUACUUUUAUUUUUGAAUGCUGCAUAUUUUUACGUCUUAAAGCCGGGCCAAGGAACACCAAUGACCAUGGUUCUGGUGGAUGGUUGAGUAGCAUUCGUAGUUGUAUUGAUGAUUUAUAAACAAACUGAAAAUAUACAGCUCUUUGUUAUACAUAGUUUUUGACAUUGCGUUAUUAAAUAGAUUCAUGUACUCGCUCUGAAAAUAACACUUUAUAAUAAGUAACUUUAAUCAUAGAUGUGAAGAAAAAAGAUAAGUUUAGAACAAAAUAAAUAUCAAUAAAAAGUUA